This 67-nucleotide transfer RNA is filed under the name Eremias brenchleyi. Its description in RNAcentral is "tRNA-Arg". The record is from RNAcentral. Lineage: Eukaryota; Metazoa; Chordata; Lepidosauria; Squamata; Lacertidae.
AAGGGGUUAGUUUAAUAAAAAUUACUAAUUUCGACUUAGUAGACUCUGAUACCACCAGAACCCCUAA